This 1482-nucleotide ribosomal RNA is filed under the name uncultured rumen bacterium. RNAcentral's name for it is "bacterial SSU rRNA". It matches the Rfam family "Bacterial small subunit ribosomal RNA". The record is from RNAcentral.
AGAGUUUGAUCCUGGCUCAGGAUAAACGCUGGCGGCGUGCUUAAUACAUGCAAGUCGAACGAAGCACUUUUGGCGGAUCCCCUCGGGGUGAAGCCGGUUGUGACUUAGUGGCGGACGGGUGAGUAACGCGUGGGUAACCUGCCUUAUACAGGGGGAUAACAGUUAGAAAUGACUGCUAAUACCCCAUAAGCGCACGAUAUCGCAUGAUGAUGUGUGAAAAGAUUUAUCGGUAUAAGAUGGACCCGCGUCUGAUUAGUUAGUUGGCGGGGUAACGGCCCAUCAAGACGACGAUCAGUAGCCGGCUUGAGAGAGUGAUCGGCCACAUUGGGACUGAGACACGGCCCAGACUCCUACGGGAGGCAGCAGUAGGGAAUAUUGCACAAUGGGGGAAACCCUGAUGCAGCGACGCCGCGUGAGUGAUUGAAGUAUUUCGGUAUGUAAAGCUCUAUCAGCAGGGAAGAUAAUGACGGUACCUGCAUAAGAAGCCCCGGCUAACUACGUGCCAGCAGCCGCGGUAAUACAGAGGCCCGUAGCGUUGUUCGGAUUUACUGGGCGUAAAGGGUACGUAGGCGGCGGGGCGUGUCGAGUGUGAAAUCUCCGGGCUCAACCCGGAAAGUGCGCUCGAAACUACCCCGCUGGAGGCCGGGAGAGGGAAGGGGAAUGCAGGGUGUAGCGGUGAAAUGCGUUGAUAUCCUGCAGAACACCGGAGGCGAAGGCGCCUUCCUGGAACGGUACUGACGCUGAGGUACGAAAGUCGGGGGAGCAAACAGGAUUAGAUACCCUGGUAGUCCCGACCCUAAACGGUGCACACUCGGGGUGGGGCCCAUUCACCGGCCCCGUCCCCCAGCGAACGCGGUAAGUGUGCCGCCUGGGGAGUACGGCCGCAAGGCUAAAACUCAAAGAAAUUGACGGGGGCCCGCACAAGCAGAGGAGCAUGUGGCUUAAUUCGAUGCAACGCGAAGAACCUUACCUGGGUUUGACAUGCAGCUGCAGGGCCUGCGAAAGCAGGCCGCCUUCGAGGGUGCUGCACAGGUGCUGCAUGGCUGUCGUCAGUUCGUGCCGUGAGGUGUUUGGUUAAGUCCACCAACGAACGCAACCCCUUAUCCGUGUUGCCAGCGCGUCAAGGCGGGGACUCGCGGAUGACUGCCCGUUCACGCGGGAGGAAGGUGGGGAUGACGUCAAGUCAGUAUGGCCCUUACGCCCAGGGCUGCACACGUGCUACAAUGGCCGGUACAGAGGGAUGCGAUGCCGCGAGGCGGAGCGAACCCCAGAGAGCCGGCCCCAGUUCGGAUUGGGGUCUGCAACCCGACCCCAUGAAGUCGGAUUUGCUAGUAACGGCGCAUCAGCUACGGCGCCGUGAAUGCGUUCCCGGGCCUUGUACACACCGCCCGUCACAUCAUGAAAGCCGUCUGCACCCGAAGUCCGGCAUUCGUCGGCCUAAGGUGUGGGUGGUGAUUGGGAUGAAGUCGUAACAAGGUAACC